Molecule: long non-coding RNA, 10404 nt
Filed under: Setaria viridis
Lineage: Eukaryota; Viridiplantae; Streptophyta; Magnoliopsida; Poales; Poaceae
Description: long non-coding RNA (SVIR_LNC011446)
Source: RNAcentral
UUUUUUUUUCUGUCAACACGGGAUCACUGCGGUGGUAGCUAGGUAGGUAGGCGUAGUUAUUUUGAGGAGAAUCAGAAGGCAUCGAUGAUGUGUCCUGGGCGGGCGGAGCAACCGUGACAGGCAGCAGAUCGAAAUCGAACCGAAGCUUAUCCCUGAAACAAGUUGACAACCCGGGCCUUUUUUCGCGGUGUUCCUUGAAGCUGCUGCUGCGAGUCUGCAACGAUCAACUUUUUAUAGCUCCCAAAGCGACGGCCACGAAGAAACCUGACACCAUCUUAUCCUAUCCCCCUCUCUCUUUCCCAGCAUGUGAUUGAUUGCACGGACGCGGGCCUCAGUUGGGCCAAAAGCCCGGACUUGGUGGACGGCUGGAGGUUGGUGUCGGUCGCAGGCUGAUCCGAUCGAACGGUGAUGCGUAGCCCUGAUGCUGGCUGUUGUGCUGCAGCAACUUGCGGUACUUGUAGGUGAAUUGUCCCGGUCUGAUGUCGUUAGGGCACUUAUGAAACACACCACAUGACCUUGUCUUCAAAUCAAAUCAGACGACGCGCGCGGGCGAUUGAAUUUGACGCCGCCGCCCUAGCUAUCUGGGGGAUGGAGGCAUCAAGCUCUGCAUCUCGUCUCUGAUCGAUCACUGUUCUAGCUAGGUUUACUGGCAUGCAGUGAAGCCACAGGACAGUAGGCUAUCUAGCUGGUCGGCGUUGCUGACAUGCAAGUUCAGGGCUUGCAUCGGUGGCCACUUGCCAGUGUUUUCUCUUUCAGUUCAUGGGUCUGGCACUUCCAAGUUUCCAGCAGUGUAGUGUGCCACUAGGCUCCGUGCUCUGCCUUUUGUUUAGACAGGGUAGGUCAUGUGCCCAAGCUAAAUUAUUUUUUUUCCUUCAUCUGAUCUGUGGCUGUCCACAAGUUUAUUGACACGUGGCUCCGCUCUUUGCCACUAUUGAGACUGCAAAUCUCUUUAAAAAAAAUACAAGCAGAUGACAGAAGGCACCAUCUGAGGGAGCACUGUUACUAGUGGACACUGUACUGGGUCUAACCGCACUUUUAAGACCUCAUCACAGCUGAUGCCACUAACGUCAACCCAUCCCUGUCAGUCAGUGCAACCGACGCUUGAUGAUGAGCUAGACUAGAAAUAAAGCUUCGUUUCAAGUGCCGGAAUUUUCUCUUAUUCCUGUAGGAGUGGAUCAUAUUUUUCUUCUUUUCCAAGCAUAUGUCCUUAUAACUAUGACAGGUUCCUUGUACAGCUCCUACCAAAAUCUAAAAUUGAUCAUUGUCCAUAGAAAUCCUAUUUUUAUUACACCGAAAACGUGUCGCAUAGGGUGGUAAUGGAUCAUGGCCCCAUAUCUUCUUCACAAUCCAAUUCAGCCCUACGUUCAAAAUCAUAUCAUAUUAUGUGAUCCGAUCUUUAUUGAGCCUGAUCCUUUACCUCUCCUAAGUAGUAGGAGUACUCCUAUUUCCUCGUAAUCCCAAUAUCUCCUUUUUAUUCUCCAGAAAAGAUUUUUCAUAAUUGCAUUUAUUCCCCGGACCGGAUAUAUACCGGGGGACGUAAAGCAAUCGAUAUUGAUAGCUGCCCUCUAGUUUUGUCGCUUCAACCGGACGCGUUUUCUUGGAUCUGAAGAAAUGGGCACCAUCAGCAGGAAUCCAAUUCAAACAUCAGUCAGCUGGGCAAACUCCCACGCGCUAAAUUCCAAAUCUGAAACAUCAAAAAUCUGGGUUCCGUCUCUAAUCGUAGUUCUCUCAGGAACCGAAUAACGGAUUCACUAGCACGGGAAAAGGAAAAAUGCUAGGUGUACUCUGAUGACAACAGCUCCAUACGAAAAUUGAACCAGUACCCAACACAAAUUCGACCGUUACUUUCCAUGACAUGCCCCUUUUAGAAGUCGACCAAAGUUUGGUGAUGUGAGGGCAUUUUGCAUGGCAAAUCUAUUAGUAGUCUCCUUAUCCAUAUUGCAAUGUAUAGUUUCAAUAGAAAAUGGUCUUCAGAAAUUAUUUUUUAUGUUUAUUUUCUCAUACAAUAUAUUCUCAAACUUAGGAUUUUGCACCAGAAAAACACCCGAUCCUAUAUCCCGAAAAGAGUCGCGAGAGCAACAUGAACUUUUUUUAUGUUUGCGACGCUCAAUCUUGUCCCAACUUACUAAAAAGAUUGUUCACGAUACAAAAAGAAGAGCAAUUCCUUCGACAAGAAAGCUAAAUAGGCUAUCCAUGAAUUAAUCCAGUUUAUUAGAUGCACUUUGAUCCACGAAUUAAAAAAAGGUUAUCCAGGUACAACCUGUCCAUAUAACGUUCAAGUAUAGUCGGAGGCAGUAGCGAAUUAUGUUUCUAUACUUAGGGUAUGUUUGUUUUCCUCCUAAAUUAUAUAAGUUGGAUUAUGGUCCAAGGGUAGGAGGAUAAAAAAUCAUCACGGGACCGCUAGAGGAUCACAAAUAAUCUGAAAUACGCUAGUCUUGGAUAGCUUAUUUCAAAUUAUACAUGAUCCCAAAGUAAUAUUUUACCAUAGUACCCAUGACCCAUAAUCCAACUUAUUAUAAUCCUAAAUAAACAUGGCCUUACAAGAUCAGAGAACAAACAUAUCCUCUAGACGAAAAUAAUCACCCAUUACCCAAAAAACGGGAGCUCCGGCUGAGUACGCGUAGUAAAAUGCCAUCCUAGAGCCCCACUGCAUGUGGGACCCUUGACCCAAGUCCACCACAUCCCGUGAAAGCGGAGGAGGCACUGCCCUCCCCCACACGCCCGCCCACACGGCUCCCAUGGCGACGCGCCCCUAUUUAGCCGCCCCCACCUCCAUGCCUCCAUGCCCACCACCGCCACUUUAUUCUCCCCUCCGCUUCCACCAAUCCACCACCUCGUCCUCCUCCUCCUCUAGCAGCCUGGCAGCACUGUGGACUAGCCGCCCUCCCAUCCGAUCCCCUACUCGAAGGUGAGCAGCCCUGCGCCCAUGCCAAAUUUCUCUCGCAAUCCGAUCGUAGCGUAGCACACAAAUACCCCUUCUUGAUACCGGUGCCUUGCGUGGAUUUGUGCCGGAUCUUCUGUCUUCGGUAAGGCCGGCUCUAAUCCACUGCAAAACCAGUUUGAUCUGCACCGAAAUCUUGUAGGGGGCAUGUAGGGUUCUAGUGUUUUACCUGCUUGUUCUAGUCGUAGCAGCAGCUGUCCAAAAUCUUGGGAUCCUUUUGGCUUUAUUUGUACUGACUGUGUGAAAGCUCUGUAUUGAUAAAGGCUUUUUUUUCUCUCGCUUGAAUUGUUGCAGGAUACACCGUGAGUAGGCGUGAUGGUGCUUGAUACCAAUACGUGUUCCCCGUUUUCGUGCAGUCUAACAUCGUUUCAUGCUAAAUCGCAUUAGUUUAAUGGGACGAAUACACUACUUCAUUUGAGAUCAUUGCACAUCCUUUAAGAUUUUAUUCUCUUUUCUUUUUUUAGCAAUAUUACUUUCUAGCUCUUUGGUUUAUGUCCAACAUUUUUGUGUCUGCUCCAAUUUUGCAGGGUCUUGAGUUAAUUGGUUGGGCAAGGAGGUGGUUGAUUCCAGCAGGACCCUUCUCGUGAGCCUAGUCUGACCGGCCUUGGUAUUUGGGGGUUGUUCUGUACUCUCUUUAAUUUGUGAGUUGUGACAGGUUCUUGAAGUGCAAUUGUUAGAGUUUUAGUUGUAGCAGAAGAGAGAAUUUGCUAAUAUGGCGUUGGCAGGGACUUCCAAAGUAGUGCUGGGAUGUAUCGCCUUUGGGAUUUUCUGGGUGAUGGCUGUCUUCCCCACUGUCCCGUUCAUGCCUGUUGGACGGACGGCUGGGUCCCUCCUUGGUGCUAUGCUAAUGGUCCUGUUCCGUGUCAUCUCCCCGGAGGACGCAUAUGCUGCAAUUGACCUCCCGAUCAUCGGCCUGCUCUUUGGGACAAUGGUCGUCAGCAUCUUCCUUGAGAGGGCUGACAUGUUUAAGUACCUCGGUAACCUGCUCUCAUGGAAGAGCAGAGGUAGCAAGGACCUGCUCUUCCGAGUUUGCAUUGUGUCUGCCUUUGCAAGCGCACUUUUCACCAAUGACACAUGCUGUGUCGUGCUCACUGAAUUCAUCCUCAAGGUUGCUAGGCAGAACAACCUACCACCACAGCCUUUCCUUCUGGCCCUUGCCACUAGUUCAAACAUCGGCUCUGCUGCGACGCCGAUUGGUAACCCUCAGAACCUUGUCAUAGCAGUGGAGAGUGGGAUUUCAUUUGGUCAGUUCCUGCUAGGAGUUUUCCCAGCAAUGAUUGUUGGGGUUCUGACAAAUGCUGCUAUCCUCCUUUUGUACUUCUGGAAAUACCUGUCUGUGGAGAAGGAUCAGGAAGGUGGGCAACCAGAAGGGCCAGAGGUUGUUGCCGACGAUGAGGUUACCUCACAUCGGUUCACACCGGCUAGAAUGUCACAUGUUUCUUCCCUGAAUCCAGAUGAUGUGGAUUGCAUAAGUGAACCAAUCAUCAGGAGCAACAGUGUCAGUACCAGUGUGAAUGAGAACCUGAGGAGCAGAAGCAUCAAUUCUGAGGCUGACAUUCAACUCGCCAUCAAGUCUCUGCGGGCAUCGAGCAUGUCACACGAGAUGGUAGAGGUCUCGACGGUUCCUGAUAGGAGAGAUGAAGGUGCAUCCUCAAGGAAGUUCACUAGAACUGCUAGCCAACAAAGGAGUGUGAUAAUAGAGGACCUGCCACCCUCCCCUGACACCAAUGGGGAAAAGGACAAAGAAGCUGAAGUUGCAGAGAAAAGGUGGAAAAUUCUUGUGUGGAAGACUGCUGUUUAUCUUAUAACUCUCGGUAUGCUCAUUGCACUUCUAAUGGGGCUUAACAUGUCCUGGACUGCAAUUACUGCAGCUCUUGUUCUUCUGGCACUUGAUUUUACAGAUGCACAGGCUUGCCUUGAGAAGGUAUGUUCCUCAAAUUUUGAUCAAUGCUUAGAGAGUUGAUACUUUUCUUAGCAUGAAUGAUGAUCAUCUUCUUGACUUGCAGGUGUCAUACUCAUUGCUGAUCUUUUUCUGCGGGAUGUUUAUCACGGUUGAUGGUUUCAACAAAACUGGCAUCCCGAACACAUUAUGGGAGUUAGUGGAACCAUAUUCACGAAUUGAUAGUGCCAAAGGUGUUGCACUUCUUGCGGUGGUGAUUCUUAUCCUUUCAAAUGUGGCCUCAAAUGUUCCCACAGGUACUUUUUCUCAAAUUGAUUUCUUUUGGGCACUAUUGGAAAUUUUAUGAACACGGCCAUCUGUAAUCAUUUAAUACUUUAUAACAUAUAUGCUAUUUUGUUUAAGAAAUCUGUUAUAUUGGUAUUUUAGAGGCUGUGUGCUCAUAUGGCCUUCUGGUCUCUCUGUUCUUUUCUGGUGCCUAGCAUGAUUAAAGGAACUGGAAUAUUACUCUAGCAUUUGGUGCGCAAAACUGAAAUUUGUACAUCAUUUGCAAAAUUUGUACAGAAUUAAACUGAAUUGCCACAACAAUUCAUGAUCCACAAAGAGGAACACUGACUUUAGUAAGACUUAAAAUAUUUGUAGUGCUUUAUCAGAGUACUUUCUGUGCUGUAAAACAUUCAAUCCUGAGCCUAUAUUUGUGGAAAGUAAUCAUGGAAGUUAUAUUGUUCUCACAGAAAUAGGUUUGAAGGCACUUAAUUUAUCCAAACCAGAGAUCUAUAUAUUAUACUGAACUGAGCAACUUAUGGUCUUUUAGUCUGUACUGUACUUCAGAACUCAGAAGUUUGCGAGAGUAAUUAGAUCCAGCAUGUUCAUCCUAUAUCGGAACUUUUCUUUUCUUUUUUCAGUAUUGUUGCUCGGUACAAGAGUGGCUGCAUCAGCUGCCGCAAUUUCUCAUGGUUCAGAGAGGAAGGCCUGGCUCAUUCUUGCAUGGGUCAGCACCGUGGCUGGGAACCUCACCCUCUUGGGUUCCGCCGCGAAUCUGAUCGUGUGCGAGCAGGCCAGGCGAGCCCAGUUCUUCGGCUACAAUCUCACCUUCUGGAGCCACCUCCGAUUCGGGGUGCCAUCGACCAUCAUAGUCACGGCGAUCGGGCUGCUCAUCGUCAUCAGUUACUGAAGUCAGCUGAAGGCAGGCGAUAGUGUACGAGAAGCAGAACGGAUAAAUCCAUCCAAUAAGAAAUCACAUGUAAAAUAGGCUUGUAACUCUCGUGUGUGUGUCAGUAUGUGUAUGUCUCCGUCUGUGUUCUUGCUCAUUUGGCGCUGCUAGCAGACUGCAGAUAGCUGACCGUGUAGCCUGCAUUUUCAUUCCUGAACGGAUGUUGCAAAUAGGGUUAAUGAAGAACGGUAUGAUAAUCUGAUUGCUGAUUUUGUGUUCUAGAUGCUUAACCGUGAGUUUCUCCAAGCUUGUGUUUCGAUUUCUGGAGCAAAGCGUUUAAAUAGUUCGUUUCCGAAGCUGAAACUCUGUUAACUUCUGCUUUCAAAUAAAAAAUCCGAAAGUGAAGUUUGGGCAAAAAUUGGAAGCAGCCCAUCACCUCAUUGGGCUUAUUGUGCCCAACAGCUAUAACUUUCGCCCACCCACCACUAAGCCUAGGCCCAGCGGAGAGAUCCUUUGCAGUUCGCCCAUUCCCGCCGCCGCCGCCGCCAUCGUCAACGCCGACAGGUCCACGAGCGCGGCGCCCGCGGCGAGAGGAUCAUCCUUCUCCGCCGCGAUAGAAGUGGACGCGGAGAGGCCUCAGUUCGAGCCUUCUUCGAGGCGCUGAUGCCAAGCGAGAUGAACGGCGGGAGGCCCCAAUCCCGGAAGUAGCCAGUGCCGAUCCACCGGUUCGCGCCGCUGUAGAGGUGUCGGAUGGAGAAUUGGAGAUAUACACUCCCGUCAACGGGCACAUGAAAAUCGACAUCCGCAUGAACCUUAAGGUGCGUGGCGUGACCUUGUGAUUUGUGCUUGUGCUUUUUUAUUUGAGCGUGAAAAGCGUCUGGAGUUGUGGUUAUCCUUGCAUCAUGGAUUAUAUGAGUCUGCAAAUCCUUAAUUGUCGAUUAGACAACUGUUCGUGUAAUUUUGUAGGAUGAUAUCCCAACGUAGAAGGUGCAUAUUUGACGAAUGCUCAUAUAAGCUGAAGUAUAGAACCAGCAUUGUAGAUGAUGGUGUGCUGUUGUUAUUAUGAGGAUGGAAUUUGUGGACGGGCUGAUAAAUUCGAUCAGUGUUGGAGUAUCUGUGCUGAAGGGAUAAAAUUCAGUAGUAUAAUGGAUCCAGCUUUGCUGCGAAUCCGAAACAAGUAGUGCAAAAAAUAAUUCUAAUUGUGGAUCCCUUCAAUCACUUCUGCCUGUCAUGAACAUAGUUAUUCAGUAAGGGGUUCCAACUUCAUUUUUAAAAUGAGCAAGCACAAAUAUUCGAAAGGAUAGCUCAGUACUUGUUCACAAAUACCAUCAAUCAUUAUUUUGAUCUUCAUAGAUAUGCAUGACAACAGAACCUUAUAUUUUGAAUAAUGAAAAUACUUUCUUUGUUGAAUUGUUGUGAGCUGUCAUGACGCUUUGGUUCCAUGGAUUCCUGUAUUAUCCCCUUGUUUUUUUUGUUUUAAGUGACGAUAUCACCAAUGCUUGCAAGCCUAGACCUCCUGACUACUGUUUCCUGAACGAAUUGUCAUUAUUUUAUUUCGUAUUCCUUAACCGCUCUGCUGUAUGAUUAGGCCAUUUCCUACGAAGCAAACCCAUUAAAACAAUAACUAUUUCGUCUACCUCAGGCAGGAAGGGCAGAGCUGAAAACAAGCAAGGCACACCUGACGUGAGCAACCUGCAGAAAUGCUUGGACUUCUUCGUGCAUGCAUUCAUGCUUGGAUUCGGCAUUCGGAUGCCAUCGCCUUACGACCUUUACGUGGAUUCAUUCGAGGUAAAAGGACGUGAAGAGGCUCCGAGGGGAAGGUAGGCAAGACCAAGUAUAUGCCGUCGAGGACUCGACCAGGCCAGGACGCGGACUGUUAUCACGGACACGGAGAUCCAUAUCCUUGGGUCCUUUCAACAUUGUGAUCGAUGCCGUCCAACCGUUGCUAGCCGCGCCGCCCAAGUCCCUCGCCGGGAGGCCGCAUCCCCUGGGAUUCUACGGCCCGGCCGGAAUUGGGCGCGGGGCUUGUCAUGUGCGUGAACAAAAACAGCACCUAUGUUUCAUACUUACAAAUCACAAAACGUCCAAUGAUUUAACAACAAAGUACUUGCAGCAGCAAACUUACUAGAAUACCAAUUCUCAUCAUCUCAUCUCAACAUAUCAAAGAACACACGUAUGCCUCUCAUGCCAACUCAUCGGCACAAUCAACCACUUCACAUAUGGAUCAAUAGCAAGUAAGAUGGUGACUGAAUCAACACAUAUGGCAAGAAAAAUACCAAAUCAAUAGUAGACACCAAGAUUCAUGUGGAAACCCCUUGCGGGAAAAAACCACGAGCGGCGGCAAGCAAUCCACUAUAUGAAGAAGCAAUACAAGAGGUGGGAACCAACAAGGUGGGAAGCUCCAAAUCCCCCACGGAUUUCACUUUCUAUUGGAUGGAUUUGGUGGAUCUAAACCUCUCCUCUCCUUAACCCUAACUCUCGUCCAAGGUGGAAGAACGUAACAGAAUACUUUGUUCCUAUUCGAGUUGGGCUGCCCCUUAAAAUGGCAAACUUGUAAAGAGGCUCCAAAGUUGCAAAUUGUCACAACCAGCCCCAAUUUCAAUAUACAAUAUGUAUAGGCAAUGCUUGCCAUAACAAAUGAGCUAAUGGGCUUCCAAAUUGAUGAAAUUAGGAGCUGGACAUCAGGCACAGGGUUGGCAAAGCUUCGCGCGCGUGCACGCACGCCCAUUGGAUGGAAUUGGCACUUGGCAGAUCAGUGAACGUCCUGUUCGCUGCCGUACGUAGCUAGCUGUGUGACCGCGUCUGUGUGCACGGCGUGCAUGCAUGUGCAUGGCACGCAUCGGUUCAAUUAUUUGCACCGUCAAGUACUUGCAUUGGUUCUUUCUGCAUGCAGUAAAUCACUCAACGCCCAAGGCGAAAAAUGGCCCCUCGGCCGAGUUGGUCGUGUCAUUUUCUUCUUCUUUAGCACCAAGGGGACAGGGUGACGUGUUGCCUGAUCAUCAUCGACCCGGCGGUCGUUGCAACAUCGAUCAAAGCCUACGAAAAGGGUCCACUUUGCAUGCUACAAACGUUGACUGGGGGGCAAGGAGAGAAGAGGCAGGAAAGUACCCAGCUCAGAGCUUGACGCAUCUGAUUUAUUUUCAGUCGGUUGCGUAGCUUAUAUGUUCAUCGUAUAGAUUUCUGAAACAACAAGUAAUUUUCCAGAUAAGAAAUAAACGAGAACAUAUAAAUGCAUGAUAGAAUCUAUGGGACCAAGUAUUUUCUUAAGUGUUUGAAAACAAGAUAGAUUUCACCGUCAAUCUAUGUGAUAGUAGCGCGCGGAACAAUCACGACACGGGUGGAGUACGUAUACACUGGAAGGAUAGCCACAAGAUAUGGCAUGACAUACGCCAGGAGUAAUAGCAGGGAAAAUAAUCGUAAUAAGCAAAUCACCGUCUAAUACUAGUUUGUUUCUCUAGAUCAACAGCAACCACCAUAAUACGUAAGUAGCUGGUUGUUGAUCUUGAUCCAAGAUCCUAAGACGGUGAUCGAGCAAAUAAAUUGUUUUCAUGCACUUGAAAAAUAGCAAAAAUCAAAGGCCUACUACCAAUAUUGGUUGUGAACAAAACAAUCAGCGGAAACAAUACAUAGGAUGAUGGAUGCCGAGAUAUACGGAGGAAAUCAUCAACAUCUUUGCACACAGCUUAAUAUCUCAACUUCAUAUUAUUGAUGACAGUAGUCAACGCAUUGAGGAAACCGGGUAACAAAGGAGUAGCGCGCUACAACACCAAUUAACUAAUUAUUAGCGGUACAAAAGAAGAACACCAAGGUUUAUACCACAUAUCACACCACUUCGAUCAUAAACCCCUGGAUAUUGGUACAGAUACCCAAGAACACAAGGUUCAUCCCCCUAUCUUCAUCCACGUACCCGUCAUCAAGAUACACUACCACCCCCAGAUCAGACCAGAACAAUUGCCAAAGGAUACAAGUUGCCCUACCUUAGUAGAGAGGUAAAAACACGCCGCCGUCGACGACGCCGAGGCCACGGCCGCGGCCGUCACUCCUCAACGAGGGGAGUAGCCGCCGUCAUCUCCAUGGCCACGAGCCCACGCCCCCACCCUAUAGGCGUCGUCCGAAGCGCAGCCACCCGUUGCCGAGACACACGCACGCUCCAGAAUAAGAACACGGCCACGCACCAUGACAUAAGCCUGUAGAUCUUUGCGUGUGCUGCUUGGAUAAUGUGUGGAGCUCGCGUUCCCCCCUGCCGCCGCCCUGGGCGUACGUGGGCUUAAGAGGGGGAGGAGAGGGAGCUCCCAUUGGGCGCUUUUAUUUGGACGCUUCGCUGCCUCUUUGAGGAUCCGAGGGGGCUUUCUGCAGAAACGUUUUUUCUAAUGCCAAAAAGCUCCUCGCCUACGCCUAUGCUACCUAAAUCCU